CGCCCGUCGCUCCUACCGAUUGGGUGUGCUGGUGAAGCGUUCGGAUUGGCGACAGCGUGCGGUUCUCCGCCUGCUGCUGUUGAAAAGUUCGUUAAACCCUCCCACCUAGAGGAAGGAGAAGUCGUAACAAGGUUUCC
This 137-nucleotide ribosomal RNA is filed under the name uncultured Trebouxiophyceae. Its description in RNAcentral is "partial small subunit ribosomal RNA". It matches the Rfam family "Eukaryotic small subunit ribosomal RNA", at positions 1670 to 1804 of the family's 1831-position model. Lineage: Eukaryota; Viridiplantae; Chlorophyta; Trebouxiophyceae. The record is from RNAcentral.